This 253-nucleotide ribosomal RNA is filed under the name uncultured bacterium. RNAcentral's name for it is "partial 16S ribosomal RNA". It matches the Rfam family "Bacterial small subunit ribosomal RNA", at positions 524 to 776 of the family's 1533-position model. The record is from RNAcentral.
UACGUAGGGUGCAAGCGUUGUCCGGAAUUAUUGGGCGUAAAGGGCUCGUAGGCGGUCCAUCGCGUCGGGAGUGAAAAGCUGGGGCUUAACCCCAGUCCUGCUUCCGAUACGGGUGGACUAGAGGUAGGUAGGGGAGAACGGAAUUCCUGGUGUAGCGGUGAAAUGCGCAGAUAUCAGGAGGAACACCGGUGGCGAAGGCGGUUCUCUGGGCAGUACCUGACGCUGAGGAGCGAAAGUGUGGGGAGCGAACAGG